This is a long non-coding RNA of Rhincodon typus (whale shark), 490 nucleotides long. RefSeq lists it as uncharacterized. The transcript is spliced from 3 exons. The record is from RefSeq and is a predicted model, not a curated record. Lineage: Eukaryota; Metazoa; Chordata; Chondrichthyes; Orectolobiformes; Rhincodontidae.
UAAGUAGCUCUGCUGAUUCGAAAGGCUUUCACAACAACCGCGCACGUCCCAGCGAGAGACGCUUCAGUUUUUGGAAUUCCCUUCAGAUCAAGAUGACUGAAUUCCACUCUGAUUCAAUGGAUUUGGAGUCAGCUGUUCAGUUGGAGGAAGCCUGCUAAGAACGAGCAGUGUUAUGGAAACCCUGCUAAGAAUCAGCAAAGUUGGCGGAAAGCAAGUUUAAAACUAUCUGAGCUGGAGGAAAGCCUGCUAAUAAUCAGCUGAAUAGGCCAAAAGCUUGCAAUAAACCAUCUGCUCAACUGAUCCAGCCUAUUUCUGUAAAGAAAAUCCUCUACAGCAAUUCAGGGUAAAAAUUUAUUGGUACUUUUGAAAAAGUGAUUGAAAGAACAUUCCAAGAUUAUAUUUCCUGAGUGAGCUGAGUCUAUAACAAUUUUUGUGACAAGCACAAAAACAGAAAUUGAUGGAAAAGCUCAGCAGGUCUGGUGAAGAGAAA